RNAcentral lists this ribosomal RNA (425 nucleotides) under uncultured bacterium. RNAcentral's name for it is "bacterial SSU rRNA". It matches the Rfam family "Bacterial small subunit ribosomal RNA", at positions 917 to 1344 of the family's 1533-position model. The record is from RNAcentral.
GGGCCCGCACAAGCGGUGGAGCAUGUGGUUUAAUUCGAUGCAACGCGAAGAACCUUACCAGGGUUUGACAUCCUGCGAAUCUCUUGGAAACAGGAGAGUGCCUUCGGGAACGCAGUGACAGGUGGUGCAUGGCUGUCGUCAGCUCGUGUCGUGAGAUGUUGGGUUAAGUCCCGCAACGAGCGCAACCCACGUCUUUAGUUGCCAGCAUUUAGUUGGGCACUCUAGAGAGACUGCCGGUGAUAAACCGGAGGAAGGUGUGGAUGACGUCAAGUCAUCAUGCCCCUUACAUCCUGGGCUACACACGUACUACAAUGCUACGGACAAAGGGCAGCAAGUUCGCGAGGACAAGCAAAUCCCAAAAAGUUGCCUCAGUUCGGAUUGGAGUCUGCAACUCGACUCCAUGAAGUUGGAAUCGCUAGUAAUCG